AUGAAUCUUGAUAAUGAUGGGACUGAAUAUGAUCCACCUUUACCUAGAAUGCAUUCCAAAAAUUCGGAGUUUUUAGAUCUUGAUGCUAAAAUUGAUAAAAGUGGGAUUGAAGAGAUCAAAACUCUAGAUGUUAAUGAACCUACUAUUUUGGAUUUCAAGGAAUUUAAUUAUGAUAGCUGCUCUUUGAUAGAUUGUAUUUCCUUGUUGCAAUCCGUGCUAAAAUCUCCUCAUGCUUAUAGUCAAAAUAAAGCUUUUACCAAACAUAUCGUUGAUGCCUUGAUGCAAUCUUAUGAAGAAAAACUUGAGUCGGAAGUUUCUAUCCCUAGAAAACUUUAUGAUGAGUGGGAACCUACUAUUAAAAUUAAAAUUAAAGAUCAUGAAUGCUAUGCUUUGUGUGAUUUGGGUGCUAGUGUUUCCACAAUUCCAAAGACUUUAUGUGAUUUGCUAGGUUUCCAUGAUUUUGAUGAUUGCUCUCUAAAUUUGCACCUUGCGGAUUCCACUAUUAAGAAACCUAUGGGAAGAAUUAAUGAAGUUCUUAUUGUUGCAAAUAGGAAUUAUGUGCCCGUAGAUUUUAUCGUUCUUGAUAUAGAUUGCAAUCCUUCAUGUCCUAUUAUUCUUGGUAGACCUUUCCUUAGAACGAUUGGUGCAAUUAUUGAUAUGAAGGAAGGAAAUAUUAGAUUCCAAUUUCCAUUAAAGAAAGGCAUGGAACACUUUCCUAGGAAUAAAAUAAAAAUACCUUAUGAAUCUAUUAUGAGAGCCACUUAUGGAUUGCCUACCAAAGAUGACAAUACCUAG
RNAcentral lists this ribosomal RNA (795 nucleotides) under Triticum aestivum (bread wheat). RNAcentral describes it as "partial small subunit ribosomal RNA". Lineage: Eukaryota; Viridiplantae; Streptophyta; Magnoliopsida; Poales; Poaceae. The record is from RNAcentral.